UUGAAUUUUAAUGAAGAGUUUGGUUGUAGCUGGCCCAUUCACUUGGGCAUGUGCACACCUUCCUCUUUCAUCCCACACACACCUGUGAACCUGUGAGACAGAGAUGGGGAAUUUACUUGCUGCUUUUUGGAAUACAAAGGCAAUAGGUUAUUGGACCCCCCUCUGUCUACUCAAUUAAUAUAAACUCAAUUUAUUUUUAAAAACGAAUGUAAUGGAUGUAACACAUCUCAUAC
This 233-nucleotide unclassified non-coding RNA is filed under the name soil metagenome. RNAcentral's name for it is "partial internal transcribed spacer 1". The record is from RNAcentral.